RNAcentral lists this ribosomal RNA (468 nucleotides) under uncultured bacterium. RNAcentral describes it as "partial 16S ribosomal RNA". It matches the Rfam family "Bacterial small subunit ribosomal RNA", at positions 28 to 507 of the family's 1533-position model. The record is from RNAcentral.
GACGAACGCUGGCGGCGUGCUUAACACAUGCAAGUCGAACGGAAAGGCCCUGCUUUUGUGGGGUGCUCGAGUGGCGAACGGGUGAGUAACACGUGAGUAACCUGCCCUUGUCUUUGGGAUAACUUCAGGAAACUGGGGCUAAUACCGGAUAGGAGCUCCUGCUGCAUGGUGGGGGUUGGAAAGUUUCGGCGGUUGGGGAUGGACUCGCGGCUUAUCAGCUUGUUGGUGGGGUAGUGGCUUACCAAGGCUUUGACGGGUAGCCGGCCUGAGAGGGUGACCGGCCACAUGGGGACUGAGAGACGGCCCAGACUCCUACGGGAGGCAGCAGUGGGGAAUAUUGCACAAUGGGCGGAAGCCUGAUGCAGCAACGCCGCGUGCGGGAUGACGGCCUUCGGGUUGUAAACCGCUUUCGCCUGUGACGAAGCGUGAGUGACGGUAAUGAGUAAAGAAGCACCGGCUAACUACGUG